GCGUGAGUAGCAAAAAGGUUAAUGCGUAAGGUUUAGGAUUUUACAUUAAGAGUUCGAGUCUCUUUUUAAUUU
RNAcentral lists this transfer RNA (72 nucleotides) under Tarsaster alaskanus. RNAcentral describes it as "tRNA-Leu". It matches the Rfam family "tRNA". Rfam says of the family: Transfer RNA (tRNA) molecules are approximately 80 nucleotides in length. Their secondary structure includes four short double-helical elements and three loops (D, anti-codon, and T loops). The record is from RNAcentral. Lineage: Eukaryota; Metazoa; Echinodermata; Asteroidea; Forcipulatida; Pedicellasteridae.